Molecule: ribosomal RNA, 886 nt
Filed under: Micromonospora coxensis
Lineage: Bacteria; Bacillati; Actinomycetota; Actinomycetes; Micromonosporales; Micromonosporaceae
Description: bacterial SSU rRNA
Rfam family: Bacterial small subunit ribosomal RNA
Source: RNAcentral
AGAACGGCCGGCUUACCAUGCAAGUCGAGCGGAAGGCCCUUCGGGGUACUCGAGCGGCGAACGGGUGAGUAACACGUGAGCAACCUGCCCUAGGCUUUGGGAUAACCCUCGGAAACGGGGGCUAAUACCGAAUAUGACCUCGCAUCGCAUGGUGUGUGGUGGAAAGUUUUUCGGCCUGGGAUGGGCUCGCGGCCUAUCAGCUUGUUGGUGGGGUGAUGGCCUACCAAGGCGACGACGGGUAGCCGGCCUGAGAGGGCGACCGGCCACACUGGGACUGAGACACGGCCCAGACUCCUACGGGAGGCAGCAGUGGGGAAUAUUGCACAAUGGGCGGAAGCCUGAUGCAGCGACGCCGCGUGAGGGAUGACGGCCUUCGGGUUGUAAACCUCUUUCAGCAGGGACGAAGCGUAAGUGACGGUACCUGCAGAAGAAGCGCCGGCCAACUACGUGCCAGCAGCCGCGGUAAGACGUAGGGCGCGAGCGUUGUCCGGAUUUAUUGGGCGUAAAGAGCUCGUAGGCGGCUUGUCGCGUCGACCGUGAAAACCUGGGGCUCAACCCCAGGCCUGCGGUCGAUACGGGCAGGCUAGAGUUCGGUAGGGGAGACUGGAAUUCCUGGUGUAGCGGUGAAAUGCGCAGAUAUCAGGAGGAACACCGGUGGCGAAGGCGGGUCUCUGGGCCGAUACUGACGCUGAGGAGCGAAAGCGUGGGGAGCGAACAGGAUUAGAUACCCUGGUAGUCCACGCUGUAAACGUUGGGCGCUAGGUGUGGGGGGCCUCUCCGGUUCCCUGUGCCGCAGCUAACGCAUUAAGCGCCCCGCCUGGGGAGUACGGCCGCAAGGCUAAACUCAAAGGGAUUGACGGGGGCCCGCACAAGCGGCGGAGCUUGC